CCUGUUGUUCAGCCAACAGUAGCCUAGGGAUAGUGCAUCACUGGUAACGGUGUUGUGCGAAGCUUCCUGACAAUGUAGCCCCCUGAAAGGGUGAGAUCGGCCCGUGAGGGCUAUCUCAGAACCUGCAAGCAACAUGCGGGUGAGGCG
Marinobacter sp. T13-3 is the source of this 147-nucleotide non-coding RNA. NCBI's taxonomy places the organism in Bacteria, Pseudomonadati, Pseudomonadota, Gammaproteobacteria, Pseudomonadales, Marinobacteraceae. The record is from Rfam.